RNAcentral lists this ribosomal RNA (460 nucleotides) under uncultured bacterium. RNAcentral's name for it is "partial 16S ribosomal RNA". It matches the Rfam family "Bacterial small subunit ribosomal RNA", at positions 338 to 795 of the family's 1533-position model. The record is from RNAcentral.
CCUACGGGAGGCUGCAGUGAGGAAUAUUGGUCAAUGGGCGCGAGCCUGAACCAGCCAAGUAGCGUGAAGGAUGACUGCCCUCCGGGUUGUAACCUUCUUUUAUAAAGGAAUAAAGUGAGGCACGUGUGCCUCUUUGUAUGUACUUUAUGAAUAAGGAUCGGCUAACCCCGUGCCAGCAGCCGCGGCUAUACGGGGGAUCCGAGCGUUAUCCGGAUUUAUUGGGUUUAAAGGGAGCGUAGAUGGGUUGUUAAGUCAGGUGUGAAAGUUUGGGGCUCAACCGUAAAAUUGCAAUUGAUACUGGAAGGCUGGAGUGCAGGUGAGGUAGGCGGAAUUCGUGGUGUAGCAGUGAAAUGCUUAGAUAUCACGAAGAACUCCGAUUGCGAAGGCGACUUACUAAACUGCCACUGACAUUGAUGCGCGAAAGUGUGGGUAUCAAACAGGAUUAGAUACCCCAGUAGUC